UGAGGAAUAUUGGUCAAUGGGCGGGAGCCUGAACCAGCCAAGUCGCGUGAGGGACGACGGUCCUAUGAUUGUAAACCUCUUUUGUCGGGGAACAAAGGCGCCCACGGGUGGGCGGAUGAGUGUACCCGAAGAAAAAGCAUCGGCUAACUCCGUGCC
This 156-nucleotide ribosomal RNA is filed under the name uncultured bacterium. RNAcentral describes it as "partial 16S ribosomal RNA". It matches the Rfam family "Bacterial small subunit ribosomal RNA", at positions 355 to 509 of the family's 1533-position model. The record is from RNAcentral.